UGCGAGUCAUUGUAGUAAUACAAGGCAGACGGCUCAGUAACGCGUAGUCAACCUAACCUAUGGACGGGAAUAACCUCGGGAAACUGAGUAUAAUGCCCGAUAGAACACUAUACCUGGAAUGGUUUGUGUUCCAAAUGAUUUAUCGCCGUAGGAUGGGACUGCGGCCUAUCAGUUUGUUGGUGAGGUAAUGGCCCACCAAGACUAUUACAGGUACGGGCCCUGAGAGGAGUAGCCCGGAGAUGGGUACUGAGACACGGACCCAGGCCCUAUGGGGCGCAGCAGGCGAGAAAACUUUGCAAUGUGCGAAAGCACGACAAGGUUAAUCCGAGUGGUUUGUGCUAAACGAACCUUUUGACAGUCCUAGAAACACUGUUGAAUAAGGGGUGGGCAAGUUCUGGUGUCAGCCGCCGCGGUAAAACCAGCACCUCAAGUGGUCAGGAUGAUUAUUGGGCCUAAAGCAUCCGUAGCCGGCUCUGUUAGUUUUCGGUUAAAUCUGUACGCUCAACGUACAGGCUGCCGGGAAUACUGCAGAGCUAGGGAGUGGGAGAGGUAGACGGUACUCGGUAGGAAGGGGUAAAAUCCUUUGAUCUAUUGAUGACCACCUGUGGCGAAGGCGGUCUACCAGAACACGUCCGACGGUGAAGGAUGAAAGCUGGGGGAGCAAACCGGAUUAGAUACCCGGGUAGUCCCAGCUGUAAACUAUGCAAACUCAGUGACGCAUUGGCUUGUGGCCAAUGCAGUGCUGCAGGGAAGCCGUUAAGUUUGCCGCCUGGGAAGUACGUACGCAAGUAUGAAACCUAAAAGGAAUUGGCGGGGG
This 817-nucleotide ribosomal RNA is filed under the name uncultured marine archaeon. RNAcentral describes it as "bacterial SSU rRNA". It matches the Rfam family "Archaeal small subunit ribosomal RNA", at positions 52 to 874 of the family's 1478-position model. The record is from RNAcentral.